This 482-nucleotide ribosomal RNA is filed under the name uncultured bacterium. Its description in RNAcentral is "partial 16S ribosomal RNA". It matches the Rfam family "Bacterial small subunit ribosomal RNA", at positions 28 to 507 of the family's 1533-position model. The record is from RNAcentral.
GAUGAACGCUAGCGGCAGGCCUAAUACAUGCAAGUCGGACGGGAUUCAGGAGCUUGCUUCUGCUGAGAGUGGCGCACGGGUGCGUAACACGUAUGUAACCUACCUUUAUCAGGGGGAUAGCCUCUCGAAAGAGAGAUUAAGCCCGCAUAAAAUCACAGCACAGCAUUGUGUAAUGAUCAAAUAUUUAUAGGAUAAAGAUGGGCAUGCGGAACAUUAGCUAGAUGGCGGGGUAACGGCCCACCAUGGCGACGAUGUUUAGGGGAUCUGAGAGGAUGGCCCCCCACACUGGUACUGAGACACGGACCAGACUCCUACGGGAGGCAGCAGUAAGGAAUAUUGAUCAAUGGGCGGAAGCCUGAACCAGCCAUGCCGCGUGCAGGAAGACGGCCCUACGGGUUGUAAACUGCUUUUAUACGGGAAUAAACCCAGAUACGUGUAUCUGGCUGAAUGUACUGUAAGAAUAAGGAUCGGCUAACUCCGUG